RNAcentral lists this small RNA (112 nucleotides) under Marmota monax (woodchuck). The record is from RNAcentral. Lineage: Eukaryota; Metazoa; Chordata; Mammalia; Rodentia; Sciuridae.
GCAGGGCGGUGGGUGUGCCUGUGGUCCCAGCAUAGGGAGACUGAGACCAGAGGAUCCCUCGAGCCCAGGAGUUCAAAACCAGCCUGAGCAACAUAGAAAGACCUUGUCUCAA